Molecule: unclassified non-coding RNA, 699 nt
Filed under: Hevea brasiliensis (rubber tree)
Lineage: Eukaryota; Viridiplantae; Streptophyta; Magnoliopsida; Malpighiales; Euphorbiaceae
Source: RNAcentral
AUCAAAUCAAAUGAUUCUUCUUAUCUUUUUUUUUUUGUACUAUUACACGUGCAAAUAAUACCAAACCCUAAAAAUUACAAAUAAUUCACUAAAUUACAAAAUAUUCACCUAACUCAUUGCCUAAUUAACAAUUUUUUUAAUAUCCUUGAAUUAUUGCCACCUAAUAAAAUUAUUGAAAUUCCACCUCAUCAAUGCACAACAACCCGAUUGGUCCGUUUCCCCGUUGACCGGAUCAACUUUGACCAAAACCCUUCUUUCUUCUUUUUUCCAUUAAUUCCAACUCUACCCCCUCUAGCAACAAAAGCUAUUGACCUACUCUUCUUCAACCCCCCUCCUCCUCCUCCAGCGUUGGCGGCCGCUAGCGCUACGAACGAAUAGUGGCCGCCAGCAACAUCGGACGUGAUUCGACGAUGUCCAAUUGCAGCUCGUGGAGAGUUGCAGUUGGACGAGGAAACGGAGGAGGAUAUAGAAGAAGGAAUAGAUGAAAUUUUAGCUAUUGUAGUUGUACCAUUGAUCUUUGAUAACUUUUCUCUUAAACAACAUGAACAUACUCCGGGUUGUUGUUUGUGUUGUGGAUGCUUCUUGCAUAUAACUAUUGGCUCCGAAAAUGCCAUUUGAUGAUACGAUGAUAUAACGAUGAUGAUCGAUAAGAGAAAUGAACUUUAAUUUCUCUAUAUAUAUAUAACUUUUUUGUUUUGG